GGAUUAGAUACCCUGGUAGUCCUAGCCGUAAACGAUGGGCACUAGUUAGGGGCCCUCCUGUGGGGUCCCUGACGAAGCUAAUGUAUUAAGUGCCCCGCCUGGGGAGUAUGGUCGCAAGGCUGAAACUCAAAGGAAUUGACGGGGGCCCGCACAAGCGGUGGAGCAUGUGGUUUAAUUCGAUGCAACGCGAAGAACCUUACCUACACUUGACAUGCAGAGAACUUUCCAGAGAUGGAUUGGUGCCUUCGGGAACUCUGACACAGGUGCUGCAUGGCUGUCGUCAGCUCGUGCUG
This 293-nucleotide ribosomal RNA is filed under the name uncultured bacterium. RNAcentral describes it as "partial 16S ribosomal RNA". It matches the Rfam family "Bacterial small subunit ribosomal RNA", at positions 775 to 1067 of the family's 1533-position model. The record is from RNAcentral.